Molecule: ribosomal RNA, 334 nt
Filed under: uncultured bacterium
Lineage: Bacteria
Description: bacterial SSU rRNA
Rfam family: Bacterial small subunit ribosomal RNA
Source: RNAcentral
CCUGGCUCAGGAUGAACGCUGGCGGCGUGCCUAAUACAUGCAAGUAGAACGCUGAAGGAGGAGCUUGCUUCUCUGGAUGAGUUGCGAACGGGUGAGUAACGCCUAGGUAACCUGCCUGGUAGCGGGGGAUAACUUUUGGAAAAGAUAGCUAAUACCGCAUAAUAGUAGUUGUUGCAUGACAACUGUUUGAAAGGUACAAUUGCAUCACUACCAGAUGGACCUGCGUUGUAUUAGCUAGUUGGUGGGGUAACGGCUCACCAAGGCGACGAUACAUAGCCGACCUGAGAGGGUGAUCGGCCACACUGGGACUGAGACACGGCCCAGACUCCUACGG